AACGAACGCUGGCGGCAGGCCUAACACAUGCAAGUCGAACGCUGUAGCGAUACAGAGUGGCGGACGGGUGAGUAACGCGUGGGAACGUGCCUUUCGGUUCGGAAUAAUCCAGGGAAACUUGAGCUAAUACCGGAUACGCCCUAUGGGGGAAAGAUUUAUUGCCGAAGGAUCGGCCCGCGUCCGAUUAGGUAGUUGGUGGGGUAAUGGCGCACCAAGGCGACGAUCGGUGGCUGGUCUGAGAGGAUGAUCAGCCACACUGGGACUGAGACACGGCCCAGACUCCUACGGGAGGCAGCAGUGGGGAAUAUUGGACAAUGGGCGCAGGCCUGAUCCAGCCAUGCCGCGUGAGUGAUGAAGGCCCUAGAGUUGUAAAGCUCUUUCGCCAGGGACGAUAAUGACGGUACCUGGAUAAGAAGCCCCGGCUAACUUCGUGCCAGCCGCCGCAGUAA
RNAcentral lists this ribosomal RNA (449 nucleotides) under uncultured bacterium. RNAcentral's name for it is "partial 16S ribosomal RNA". It matches the Rfam family "Bacterial small subunit ribosomal RNA", at positions 29 to 523 of the family's 1533-position model. The record is from RNAcentral.